This 433-nucleotide ribosomal RNA is filed under the name uncultured bacterium. RNAcentral describes it as "partial 16S ribosomal RNA". It matches the Rfam family "Bacterial small subunit ribosomal RNA", at positions 29 to 507 of the family's 1533-position model. The record is from RNAcentral.
AACGAACGCUGGCGGCAUGCCUAACACAUGCAAGUCGAACGAGACCUUCGGGUCUAGUGGCGCACGGGUGCGUAACGCGUGGGAACCUGCCCUUAGGUUCGGAAUAACUCCCCGAAAGGGGUGCUAAUACCGGAUAAUGUCUUCGGACCAAAGAUUUAUCGCCUUUGGAUGGGCCCGCGUUGGAUUAGCUAGUUGGUAGGGUAAAAGCCUACCAAGGCGACGAUCCAUAGCUGGUCUGAGAGGAUGAUCAGCCACACUUGGACUGAGACACGGCCCAGACUCUUACGGGAGGCAGCAGUGGGGAAUAUUGGACAAUGGGCGAAAGCCUGAUCCAGCAAUGCCGCGUGAGUGAUGAAGGCCUUAGGGUUGUAAAGCUCUUUUACCCGGGAUGAUAAUGACAGUACCGGGAGAAUAAGCUCCGGCUAACUCCGUG